This 253-nucleotide ribosomal RNA is filed under the name uncultured bacterium. Its description in RNAcentral is "partial 16S ribosomal RNA". It matches the Rfam family "Bacterial small subunit ribosomal RNA", at positions 524 to 776 of the family's 1533-position model. The record is from RNAcentral.
UACGUAGGGUGCAAGCGUUGUCCGGAAUUAUUGGGCGUAAAGAGCUUGUAGGCGGUUUGUCGCGUCUGCUGUGAAAUUUCGGGGCUCAACCCCGAACUUGCAGUGGGUACGGGCAGGCUAGAGUGUGGUAGGGGAGACUGGAAUUCCUGGUGUAGCGGUGAAAUGCGCAGAUAUCUGGAGGAACACCGGUGGCGAAGGCGACAUCCUGGACCGAUAUUGACGCUGAGGCGCGAAAGCCAGGGGAGCAAACGGG